This 496-nucleotide ribosomal RNA is filed under the name uncultured bacterium. RNAcentral's name for it is "partial 16S ribosomal RNA". It matches the Rfam family "Bacterial small subunit ribosomal RNA", at positions 28 to 506 of the family's 1533-position model. The record is from RNAcentral.
GAUGAACGCUGGCGGCGUGCCUAAUACAUGCAAGUCGAGCGAACAGAUGAGGAGCUUGCUCCUCUGACGUUAGCGGCGGACGGGUGAGUAACACGUGGAUAACCUACCUAUAAGGCUGGGAUAACUUCGGGAAACCGGAGCUAAUACCGGAUAAUAUAUUGAACCGCAUGGUUCAAUAGUGAAAGACGGUUUUGCUGUCACUUAUAGAUGGAUCCGCGCCGCAUUAGCUAGUUGGUAAGGUAACGGCUUACCAAGGCAACGAUGCGUAGCCGACCUGAGAGGGUGAUCGGCCACACUGGAACUGAGACACGGUCCAGACUCCUACGGGAGGCAGCAGUAGGGAAUCUUCCGCAAUGGGCGAAAGCCUGACGGAGCAACGCCGCGUGAGUGAUGAAGGUCUUCGGAUCGUAAAACUCUGUUAUUAGGGAAGAACAAAUGUGUAAGUAACUAUGCACGUCUUGACGGUACCUAAGCAGAAAGCCACGGCUAACUACGU